GACGAACGCUGGCGGCGUGCUUAACACAUGCAAGUCGAACGGAAAGGCCCUGCUUUUGUGGGGUGCUCGAGUGGCGAACGGGUGAGUAACACGUGAGUAACCUGCCCUUGACUUUGGGAUAACUUCAGGAAACUGGGGCUAAUACCGGAUAGGAGCUCCUGCUGCAUGGUGGGGGUUGGAAAGUUUCGGCGGUUGGGGAUGGACUCGCGGCUUAUCAGCUUGUUGGUGGGGUAGUGGCUUACCAAGGCUUUGACGGGUAGCCGGCCUGAGAGGGUGACCGGCCACAUUGGGACUGAGAUACGGCCCAGACUCCUACGGGAGGCAGCGGUGGGGAAUAUUGCACAAUGGGCGGAAGCCUGAUGCAGCAACGCCGCGUGCGGGAUGACGGCCUUCGGGUUGUAAACCGCUGUCGCCUGUGACGAAGCGUGAGUGACGGUAAUGGGUAAAGAAGCACCGGCUAACUACGUG
This 468-nucleotide ribosomal RNA is filed under the name uncultured bacterium. Its description in RNAcentral is "partial 16S ribosomal RNA". It matches the Rfam family "Bacterial small subunit ribosomal RNA", at positions 28 to 507 of the family's 1533-position model. The record is from RNAcentral.